AUGCUGCCACAGUCGGGACUUCCGGCUCGGGCCGGAAGCGCGCGCGCUCCGCCCCGUCGUGACGCCAGGCCGUCUCCCGGCGCGCGCCCGCCACCGCUCGGGUGGGGACGGGGACGGAAACGGGGACGGGGGCGGGGGCUGCGGGGGCUGCGGCGGCGCGGGGCCCGGCGCGUCCCUUCGCGUGGGUGGCGGUCCGGGCAUCUUCGGAGCCCCCCGGCCUGGCCCCCGGUGCCUCGCCGGGGACAGCAGCACCGGCACGGCGCGGGCCACCAUGCCCCGGUGGCGCCGAGGGCAGGAGAGGCCGGCCUCCCGCUGCGCCGGCGCGGGACGCGGGCGCGGACGACUGGAUCGCGGCGAGGGGCGCGCGGGGCCGCGGAGAGGGCCUCCGGUCGGGACGCUGACGGCACUCACCGGGGGUGCCGCGGAGAAACGCCGUGCGUUGCGGCGGCAUCGGUGCCCCGGCCCCAUUAGAAUUUAAAAAUCUGUUGUUUGGGGCACCCUGACGCUGAGGCUCUUGGAAGACUGGUGCAGGGGGAUGGAGGUGAACCCUCGGAAAGCGCUGUUCGUUGCCGGCAUCCCCCCGACCUGCACUGUGGCAGAAAUCGGGGAGGCUCCGCGGGCAGGUUUGGCGCCGAUGGGCGGGUACAGACCGCUCCGGAGGGUGUUCCGGCGGGAUGACAACCGGAACGUAGCCUUAGUAGGGCUGACUGAGGAGACGGCUCUUGCUCUAGUCCCUGAGGAGCUCCCCGGAAAAAGGGGUGUCUGGAGAGUGAUCUUUAAGCCCCCAGACCUGAAUAAUGAAUUUUUAAGCAGAUUAAAUGAAUUCUUAGAGGGAGAGGGCACAACGUUGGGGGAGUUGACCGGAGCUCUUGGAUAUGGAAACGACCCUUUUGACCUAGGCCAGGACAUGAUCCCAGAAAUACAGGCCCUAUGUUGGCACAGGCAUUAGAGGAGGCUCUUCGGCCCGCCGUGCGGUACCCGAAAUACAAAAAGCUGAGAGUGUUCUCAGGCGGUGACCCUCCGGAACCAGAAGAAUUUGAAUCCUGGCUGUUUCAUACUACUCAGAUGAUGAAGACUUGGCGGGUGCCAGAUGCAGAGAAAAGAAGACGCUUGCUGGAGAGCCUUAGAGGCCCGGCAUUUGAUGUUAUUCGUGUCCUCAAGAUAAACAGUCCCUUCAUUACAGUCGCUGAAUGCCUGCAGGCUCUUGAGCAGGUAUUUGGGGUUAUUGAUCAUCCUAGGGAAUUGCAGAUCAAGUAUCUGACCACUUAGCAGAAGGAUGGAGAGCAAUUGCCUGCUUAUGUGCUGAGGUUGGAGCCUUUAUUACAGAAACUGGUAGAGAGAGGAGCAGUUGAGAAAGAUGUUGUGAAUCAGGCCCGCCGAGACCAAAUCUUGGCUGGAGCAGUCCACAGAGCCCUUCGCAGGAAGCUUGCUCAGCCACAGGACGGCCCAUCCGCUGGCUUAUUGCAGCUACUGGCUACUGGCGCUGAUAAAGGACCAAGAGGCAGCUGAGGAGGAGGAGGCGGCUCUUCUCUGGGCAGGACUAGAAGGGCAUUUCUCCUGAAUCUUAGGCAACCAGGAAGCAGAGCAUGAAGGUAGAACAGUCAGUGUACUCGUGAUAGACAUUAAUCAGUCCCUUCCUUGUGCUGCCGAGGAGCUCAUUCUGUACAGUUUUCUGUCUAAAUCCUUCGUCAUUUCUGUGCUAUUAAAUGUCUUCCAAAUGUGUCACAGACUAGGACGGUUGUAGUUCUGCACUAGUAGUUAUAUAUUUAGAUUUACUGCUGUGAAUUUAUCAUACAAAAUUGUACAGAGGGGCUAUCGCUACACACAUAUGGUGCUCUGAGAAAUGUCAGCUUUUAUGUGAUAACACGUGCAAGGGUAGCCUUUGGAUGUGAUGAUGUAUCAUAGAGGGUUUUUAGGCGUGUAUUGCCCUACAUUUAUUAUGAAGAUAUGAGCAGUGGUUGAGAUACUAAGUUAUUUUCUGUCUGAAUCACAAUUUUACUGAUUCUGCGCAGCCAAAACGAGGCAGGAUCAAAUGCUGAGGUUGAUAAGUUUGCAGCUAUCACCUCUAACCCUGGGUUUCUGAUAUGUGACAUCAGAACAUCUGGUUCUGAAUGUCAUUUAAUAGGUGUUAUAAAAUGAUCUAUGUGAACUUAUAAAAUAAAGGAAUGCUAAUACAAUGACCUUUUAAAAAUCUGUUUUAUUUAUAUCAAGAUUCCAAGAGAGAUUUCAUUUGAGCAAAGGGUUCCAGAAGCAUAAAUCUGAAAAACACUGAGGUUACACAAUCUUAGUCGCUUGGGUAUUUUCCUCUUAGUGUCCAGGGGAUAAAGUAGUUUUCUUUUUCUUUUCUUUUCUUUUUUUUUAAGAUGUAUUUAUUUAUUUGAGAGCGAGAAAGAGAGCAAGCAUGAGCAGGGGGAGAGGCAGAGGGAGAGAAGAGAAUCUCAGGCAGUCACCUCGCCGAGCACAGAGCCCGACGUGGGGCUAGACCCCACAACCCUGAAAUCAUGACCUGAGCCGAAACCAAGAGUCAGAUGCUCAACUGACCGAGCCAUCCAGGUGCCCCUAGGGAGUAGUUUUCUAAGUGAGAUUGCCAGAGGGACCUUCGACUGAUGUAGGAGGGAAUGAAACAAGAUGGAACACAAAUUAGUCCAAAGAGUAGGUCCAAAUGCAUCACUGUGUCGAAUUUGGAGAGUGAAAGGGAAGACAUAAAGGUUGUAUGCUUCUCCAUGACAGACUGGACUAAAUUAAAGUUUCCCCAUGUAUUUUCUCAUUGAAUCCUCAUAAAAAUCCUGCAAUAUAAGAAAACCCAGUUUCUCAUUGUAGAAAUGGGCACAGAAAGGUUAAAAAAUACUUCUCCAAGGGGCGCCUGGGUGGCUCAGUCAGUUAAGCGUCUGCCUUCUGCUCAGGUCAUGAUCCCAGGGUCCUGGGAUCGAGUCCCACUUUGGGCUCCUUGCUCAGCAGGAAGCCUGCUCCUCCCUCUGCCUGCAGCUCCCCCUGCUUGUGCAAGCUUGCUCUAUCUCUCUCUGGCAAAUAAAUAAAAUCUUAGGGCGCCUGGGUGGCUCAGAUGGUUAAGCGUCUGCCUUCGGCUCAGGUCAUGAUCCCAGGGUCCUGGGAUCGAGUCCCGCAUCAGGCUCCCUGCUAGGCAGGGAGCCUGCUUCUCCCUCUGCCUCUGCCUCUGCCUCUCUCUCUCUCUCUCUGACUCAUGAAUAAAUAAAUAAAACAUUUAAAAAUAAAAUAAAAUCUUAAAAAAAAAAACUUGCCCAAGGCAAAACAACUAGUAAGUGGCGGGUCCAGAAUUCUGUCCUCUGCCCUACUGCAAGGCCCAUAUUCUUUCCAUUGCCAAGAAAAAGAAACAAUCAUAAGGGUAUGAGCACCCAACAGCCUCACAAGGGAAACACGGCAGAUGUUAACCACAUUUCAUAUAUGUCUUGUAUGCAUUAGUGAAGAGUACGUUAUUCUGAAUCAUUACUGCCAACUAGACAUUAUGAGAAGUGGGGAGUAGUCCACAAUAGCCAAACUGUGGAAAGAGCCAAGAUGUCCAUCGACAGAUGAAUGGAUAAAGAAGAAGUGGUAUAUAUACACAAUGGAAUAUUAUGUAGCCAUCAAAAGGAAUGAGAUCUUGCCAUUUGCAAUGACGUGGAUGGAACUGGAGGGUGUUAUGCUGAGUGAAAUAAGUCAAUCAGAGAAAGACAUGUAUCAUAUGACCUCACUGAUAUGAGGAAUUCUUAAUCUCAG
Long non-coding RNA from Zalophus californianus (California sea lion), 3732 nucleotides. The record is from Ensembl. NCBI's taxonomy places the organism in Eukaryota, Metazoa, Chordata, Mammalia, Carnivora, Otariidae.